This 460-nucleotide ribosomal RNA is filed under the name uncultured bacterium. RNAcentral describes it as "partial 16S ribosomal RNA". It matches the Rfam family "Bacterial small subunit ribosomal RNA", at positions 338 to 795 of the family's 1533-position model. The record is from RNAcentral.
CCUACGGGAGGCAGCAGUGGGGAAUAUUGGUCAAUGGCCGGAAGGCUGAACCAGCCAUGCCGCGUGAAGGUCAGUGCCCUAUGGGCGUUAAACUUCUUUUGUGCGGGAGCAAUAAUGGUCACGUGUGGCCAGACGAGAGUACCGUACGAAUAAGCAUCGGGGAACUCCGUGCCAGCAGCCGCGGUAAUACGGGGGAUGCAAGCGUUAUCCGGAUUUAUGGGGGUUAAAGGGUGCGUAGGCUGUGAGGUAAGUCAGCGGUGAAAUGCCCCCGCGCAACGGGGUGAAGUGCCAUUGAUACUGCCUUGCUGGAAUGCGGAUGCGGUGGGAGGAAUGUGUGGUGUAGCGGUGAAAUGCAUAGAUAUCACACAGAACACCGAUUGCGAAGGCAUCUCACGAAUCCGCGAUUGACGCUGAUGCACGAAAGCGUGGGUAUCAAACAGGAGUAGAGACCCUUGUAGUC